CCUACGGGAGACAGCAGUGAGGAAUAUUGGUCAAUGGCCGGAAGGCUGAACCAGCCAAGCCGCGUGAGGGAGGAAGGCGCUGUGCGUUGUAGACUGCUUUUGUCGGGGGAUAAAAGCCCGUACUCGUCUGUUUCUGAGGGUAUCCGGCGAAUAAGGAUCGGCUAACUCCGUGCCAGCAGCCGCGGUAAUACGGAGGAUGCGAGCGUUAUCCGGCUUUAUUGGGUUUAAAGGGUGCGUAGGCGGGCCUUUAAGUUGGUGGUGAAAUCGCGGGGGUCAACUUCGGCGGGGCGUUGGAUACUGGGCGCCUAGAGUGCAGUGGCGGUAUGCGGAAUGCGCGGUGUAGCGGUGAAAUGCAUAGAUAUCGCACAGAACCCCGAUUGCGAAGGCAGCGUACCAUGCCGCUACUGACGCUGAGGCACGAAAGCGCGGGGAUCAAACAGGAUUAGAUACCCCAGUAGUC
RNAcentral lists this ribosomal RNA (460 nucleotides) under uncultured bacterium. RNAcentral describes it as "partial 16S ribosomal RNA". It matches the Rfam family "Bacterial small subunit ribosomal RNA", at positions 338 to 795 of the family's 1533-position model. The record is from RNAcentral.